GGGUUGUGAGGUUAAGCGACUAAGCGUACACGGUGGAUGCCCUGGCAGUCAGAGGCGAUGAAGGACGUGCUAAUCUGCGAAAAGCGUCGGUAAGGUGAUAUGAACCGUUAUAACCGGCGAUGUCCGAAUGGGGAAACCCAGUGUGAUUCGUCACACUAUCGUUAACUGAAUACAUAGGUUAACGAGGCGAACCGGGGGAACUGAAACAUCUAAGUACCCCGAGGAAAAGAAAUCAACCGAGAUUCCCCCAGUAGCGGCGAGCGAACGGGGAGCAGCCCAGAGUCUGAAUCAGCUUGUGUGUUAGUGGAACGGUCUGGAAAGUCCGACGGUACAGGGUGAUAGUCCCGUACACCAAAAUGCACAGGCUGUGAACUCGAAGAGUAGGGCGGGACACGUGGUAUCCUGUCUGAAUAUGGGGACCAUCCUCCAAGGCUAAAUACUCCUGACUGACCGAUAGUGAACCAGUACCGUGAGGGAAAGGCGAAAAGAACCCCGGCGAGGGGAGUGAAAAAGAACCUGAAACCGUGUACGUACAAGCAGUGGGAGCACCUUCGGGUGUGACUGCGUACCUUUUGUAUAAUGGGUCAGCGACUUAUAUUCUGUAGCAAGGUUAACCGUAUAGGGAGCCGCAGGGAAACCGAGUCUUAACUGGGCGUUAAGUUGCAGGGUAUAGACCCGAAACCCGGUGAUCUAGCCAUGGGCAGGUUGAAGGUUGGGUAACACUAACUGGAGGACCGAACCGACUAAUGUUGAAAAAUUAGCGGAUGACUUGUGGCUGGGGUGAAAGGCCAAUCAAACCGGGAGAUAGCUGGUUCUCCCGAAAGCUAUUUAGGUAGCGCCUCGUGAAUUCAUCUUCGGGGUAGAGCACUGUUUCGGCUAGGGGUCAUCCCGACUUACCAACCCGAUGCAAACUACGAAUACCGAAGAAUGUUAUCACGGGAGACACACGGCGGGUGCUAACGUCCGUCGUGAAGAGGGAAACAACCCAGACCGCCAGCUAAGGUCCCAAAGUCAUGGUUAAGUGGGAAACGAUGUGGGAAGGCACAGACAGCGGGAUGUUGGCUUAGAAGCAGCCAUCAUUUAAAGAAAGCGUAAUAGCUCACUGGUCGAGUCGGCCUGCGCGGAAGAUGUAACGGGCUAAACCAUGCACCGAAGCUGCGGCAGCGACACUAUGUGUUGUUGGGUAGGGAGCGUUCUGUAAGCCUGCGAAGGUGACCUGUGAGGGUUGCUGGAGGUAUCAGAAGUGCGAAUGCUGACAUAAGUAACGAUAAAGCGGGUGAAAAGCCCGCUCGCCGGAAGACCAAGGGUUCCUGUCCAACGUUAAUCGGGGCAGGGUGAGUCGACCCCUAAGGCGAGGCCGAAAGGCGUAGUCGAUGGGAAACAGGUUAAUAUUCCUGUACUUGGUGUUACUGCGAAGGGGGGACGGAGAAGGCUAUGUUAGCCGGGCGACGGUUGUCCCGGUUUAAGCAUGUAGGCUGAUUAUCCAGGCAAAUCCGGAUAAUCAAGGCUGAGGUGUGAUGACGAGGCACUACGGUGCUGAAGUAACAAAUGCCCUGCUUCCGUGAAAAGCCUCUAAGCAUCAGGUAACAUCAAAUCGUACCCCAAACCGACACAGGUGGUCAGGUAGAGAAUACCAAGGCGCUUGAGAGAACUCGGGUGAAGGAACUAGGCAAAAUGGUGCCGUAACUUCGGGAGAAGGCACGCUGGUGUGUAGGUGAAGUCCCUGCGGAUGGAGCUGAGACCAGUCGAAGAUACCAGCUGGCUGCAACUGUUUAUUAAAAACACAGCACUGUGCAAACACGAAAGUGGACGUAUACGGUGUGACGCCUGCCCGGUGCCGGAAGGUUAAUUGAUGGGGUUAUCCGUAAGGAGAAGCUCUUGAUCGAAGCCCCGGUAAACGGCGGCCGUAACUAUAACGGUCCUAAGGUAGCGAAAUUCCUUGUCGGGUAAGUUCCGACCUGCACGAAUGGCGUAAUGAUGGCCAGGCUGUCUCCACCCGAGACUCAGUGAAAUUGAACUCGCUGUGAAGAUGCAGUGUACCCGCGGCAAGACGGAAAGACCCCGUGAACCUUUACUAUAGCUUGACACUGAACAUUGAGCCUUGAUGUGUAGGAUAGGUGGGAGGCUUUGAAGCGUGGACGCCAGUCUGCGUGGAGCCAACCUUGAAAUACCACCCUUUAAUGUUUGAUGUUCUAACGUUGGCCCCUGACCGGGGUUGCGGACAGUGUCUGGUGGGUAGUUUGACUGGGGCGGUCUCCUCCCAAAGCGUAACGGAGGAGCACGAAGGUUAGCUAAUCUGGUCGGACAUCAGGAGGUUAGUGCAAUGGCAUAAGCUAGCUUGACUGCGAGCGUGACGGCGCGAGCAGGUGCGAAAGCAGGUCAUAGUGAUCCGGUGGUUCUGAAUGGAAGGGCCAUCGCUCAACGGAUAAAAGGUACCCGGGGAUAACAGGCUGAUACCGCCCAAGAGUUCAUAUCGACGGCGGUGUUUGGCACCUCGAUGUCGGCUCAUCACAUCCUGGGGCUGAAGUAGGUCCCAAGGGUAUGGCUGUUCGCCAUUUAAAGUGGUACGCGAGCUGGGUUUAGAACGUCGUGAGACAGUUCGGUCCCUAUCUGCCGUGGGCGCUGGAGAAUUGAGGGGCUGCUCCUAGUACGAGAGGACCGGGUGGACGCAUCACUGGUGUUCGGGUUGUCAUGCCAAUGGCACUGCCCGGUAGCUAAAUGCGGAAGAGAUAAGUGCUGAAAGCAUCUAAGCACGAAACUUGCCCCGAGAUGAGUUCUCCUGAGACUUUAAGUCUCCUGAAGGAACGUUGAAGACGACGACGUUGAUAGGCCGGGUGUGUAAGCGCAGCGAUGCGUUGAGCUAACCGGUACUAAUGAACCGUGAGGCUUAACCUUACAACGCCGAAG
This 2907-nucleotide ribosomal RNA is filed under the name Klebsiella pneumoniae. RNAcentral's name for it is "23S ribosomal RNA". It matches the Rfam family "Bacterial large subunit ribosomal RNA". Lineage: Bacteria; Pseudomonadati; Pseudomonadota; Gammaproteobacteria; Enterobacterales; Enterobacteriaceae. The record is from RNAcentral.